UGCCAGUUGAGAAUGUGUGGUUCCUGGUUCCUUGCCUGGCCUGCUUUCUUCCAAGCUUGCCUAGGGCCCAGCCUUACUAGAAGCUACAGUACUUUACAUGCAAAGUCUGCCUUCUUCCAGCCCCUGGGCUUUGGGAGGUCUACACAAGUGGGAACUUCCUUUCCCUCACUUCCUUUACCCCCUAGUCAGAGCAUUUCAGCCGUUUGCUACCUCGAUUCUUCCUAUAUUGGACAGAGGCUGGGGACAGCACCAGCCUGAUUCUUCCCACUUACCUGCCAUUUGUUCCCACUUUCAGAUGGACAGUUUGCUGGCUGUGAACUGGAAUGAGGACUGCAGCACAACUCAUAACAGCUCAGUCUUAAAAGCAAACCUAUAUGCACAUCAAGAGAUGAAUGGAUAAAGAAAUGAAGUACUACUCUGCUAUAUAGAGCUUUCCAUUCCAGAGGGGUCUUUGCCAUUCCACUGGGCAGGUGGAGAGCUCCCUGAGGAGAAGAUGGGACACAGUCCUCCCUGAGGUCUUCAGAAGGGGCUAGAGCCAACUACGGGUGAAUGGAGUGAAGGGGGAGAGAGAUGAAUGUUCAAGACAGAUUGCUUUGAUUUGAAAUGAAAACAAACAACUUCAGAAAAAAAAAAAAGGUUUUCAUUAUUUUGGAGACCUUGGCAUUCUUGCAGAUACAUUCAUGAAUUAAUCAUUAAAAUCCUGAAAUGUGGAAUAAAUCAUGUGGUUUUCAAUGCCAGCCCACAAUAAAGAGGACCUCAAAC
Molecule: long non-coding RNA, 762 nt
Filed under: Heterocephalus glaber (naked mole-rat)
Lineage: Eukaryota; Metazoa; Chordata; Mammalia; Rodentia; Bathyergidae
Description: lncRNA (ENSHGLG00000032351.1)
Source: RNAcentral